Molecule: transfer RNA, 74 nt
Filed under: Erysipelotrichaceae bacterium
Lineage: Bacteria; Bacillati; Bacillota; Erysipelotrichia; Erysipelotrichales; Erysipelotrichaceae
Description: tRNA-Gln
Rfam family: tRNA
About the family: Transfer RNA (tRNA) molecules are approximately 80 nucleotides in length. Their secondary structure includes four short double-helical elements and three loops (D, anti-codon, and T loops).
Source: RNAcentral
UGGGGUAUAGCCAAGCGGUAAGGCAAGGGACUUUGACUCCCUCAUCCCUGGUCCGAAUCCAGGUACCCCAGCCA